UUUUAUUUUGGCGGGAAAUUUUGU
Molecule: small RNA, 24 nt
Filed under: Arabidopsis thaliana (thale cress)
Lineage: Eukaryota; Viridiplantae; Streptophyta; Magnoliopsida; Brassicales; Brassicaceae
Description: ATSL069930
Source: RNAcentral